This is a long non-coding RNA of Oreochromis niloticus (Nile tilapia), 1416 nucleotides long. RefSeq lists it as uncharacterized. The transcript is spliced from 4 exons. The record is from RefSeq and is a predicted model, not a curated record. Lineage: Eukaryota; Metazoa; Chordata; Actinopteri; Cichliformes; Cichlidae.
UAUCUCACUAAUUUAUUGCACUUCUUGUUUGUUGGUAAGGUGCUUUUAAUGCUUUAUCUGUACUUGUGUGGGGACUUGUUAUAAAUCAGUUUUCAACCUUAAAUCUCUCUCUGCCUAUAAGACCUUAAUGAAAAUGACUGAAUUUUCCUUGUAUUCAGUGAGCAGCGAGUUACCAAUACUGCCAUUUAAUUUUGUCUUCUGCUCUUGUGUCUGGUGUGUUAACUCUUGUAUAUGUUGCAGAGUGUGGCAUGGUGGAAAAGAACUGAGAGAAUUCUCCACUAAACAUUUGGGUUGGCAUUACUUUUCUUUUCUUUUUUUACUAAUUGCUUGCUUUGGUGUUUUUGUGUCUUUGUGAGGUGUCGGCCACACCCAUGGGAGUGGAGAUUCUACUCUAGUCCAGCUGCCAGCUAUUUGGAGUUGAGUACAGGGAGCAGAGGAAACUGGAAGGAAGGGGUGGUUGUUGUUUUGUUUUGUUUGUUUGUGGGACACUGUUGCAGCAGGGAAGCCAGUUGACCUUGGAGACUCCAGGAUGUAAAGUGCACAUUUUAAAUGACUUUUUUUAAAACCUGGUUUUGCUUUUAAAAGAAUCUAAUGAUGCUGGAGGGAGGACUCGUUUUAAUUAGGAUUCAUGUGGAUCUGCUGGGAUAAAAAGACUGGAUUAGAGACCGUCUGUGCCCAAGGAAAGGAAAUUGGUCAAGAUUUGGACAAGUUUGAAUUUGAGAGUGGAACCCCCAGGAUCUGGUGUAGAGAUCCAUCCUCCAACAAACGCCAGGCCUAAUAAAGUGGAUGGAAAGCGUUUCUCAGGAAGAUGCAGGAUUGAUAUGUUUUUGGCUACAUGUUCUUCUGAGUGACCACCUUUCUAUGUUUGUAACCAGGCUAACAAUCCUGACCCUGGUGGCUUUGGGCCUUGGAUUCCAGGCCAGACUUGUGUCCUCAGCCAGUAGUCUGACUUGGAGGAAGAAAACUAAAUCUUGUGUACCCCACUGCAGUGAUGGAUGGUGGUGAUGGAUGGUGGUGAUGGAUGGUGGUGAUGGAUGGUGGUGAUGGAUGGUGGUGGCAAAGCAGAAGAUUUACCUUGAGUGUCUUUAAAGUCUUGCUGCCCAAGGACAUGAGGCAACGAUUGUUGUCUUCCUUACCCACUAUGGCAAAUGAGCAAGUUAUCCUGAUUUGCCCGACGGUCAGGCCGAGCUCCUUGAUGUGACCAUCGAUGCAGAGCCUGCGCUGAAAUGGAAAGCCAUCGGUCUCCAUUUUGAUCUCUUCGACCAGUUCUUUUAAACUGAAAGGGAAACAAAAUAAGUCAACAGUUCUCACCUCAUGCUGCAGAAUCCAGAUUCAUCCAUGUUUGGUUCAUUGGUGAUUCUAAAUUGGCCCGAGGUGUAAUUGUGGAAGCAAAUUAAAUCGCUGUCUGUCUCUUUA